RNAcentral lists this ribosomal RNA (468 nucleotides) under uncultured bacterium. RNAcentral describes it as "partial 16S ribosomal RNA". It matches the Rfam family "Bacterial small subunit ribosomal RNA", at positions 28 to 507 of the family's 1533-position model. The record is from RNAcentral.
GACGAACGCUGGCGGCGUGCUUAACACAUGCAAGUCGAACGGAAAGGCCCUGCCUUGGGGGGGUGCGCGAGUGGCGAACGGGUGAGUAACACGUGAGUAACCUGCCCUGGACGUUGGGAUAACUUCAGGAAACUGGGGCUAAUACCGGAUAGGAGCUCCUGAUGCAGGGAGGGGGUAGGAAAGUUUCGGCGGGUGGGGAUGGACUCGCGGCUUAUCAGCUUGUUGGUGGGGUAGGGGCUUACCAAGGCUUCGACGGGUAGCCGGCCGGAGAGGGUGACCGGCCCCCUUGGGCCUGCGAUACGGCCCAGACUCCUACGGGGGGCAGCAGUGGCGAAUCUUGCACAAUGGGCGGACGCCUGAUGCAGCAGCGCCGCGUGCGGGAUGCCGGCCUUCGGGUUGUAAACCGCUUUCGCCUGUGACGAAGCGUGAGUGACGGUAAUGGGUAAAGAAGCACCGGCUAACUACGUG